AGUGAACGCUGGCGGCAGGCCUAACACAUGCAAGUCGAACGGCAGCACAGAGGAGCUUGCUCCUUGGGUGGCGAGUGGCGGACGGGUGAGGAAUACAUCGGAAUCUGCCUAUUUGUGGGGGAUAACGUAGGGAAACUUACGCUAAUACCGCAUACGACCUACGGGUGAAAGCGGAGGACCUUCGGGCUUCGCGCAGAUAGAUGAGCCGAUGUCGGAUUAGCUAGUUGGCGGGGUAAAGGCCCACCAAGGCGACGAUCCGUAGCUGGUCCGAGAGGAUGAUCAGCCACACUGGAACUGAGACACGGUCCAGACUCCUACGGGAGGCAGCAGUGGGGAAUAUUGGACAAUGGGCGCAAGCCUGAUCCAGCCAUGCCGCGUGGGUGAAGAAGGCCUUCGGGUUGUAAAGCCCUUUUGUUGGGAAAGAAAAGCAGCCGGUUAAUACCCGGUUGUUCUGACGGUACCCAAAGAAUAAGCACCGGCUAACUUCGUG
This 490-nucleotide ribosomal RNA is filed under the name uncultured bacterium. RNAcentral describes it as "partial 16S ribosomal RNA". It matches the Rfam family "Bacterial small subunit ribosomal RNA", at positions 29 to 507 of the family's 1533-position model. The record is from RNAcentral.